This 480-nucleotide ribosomal RNA is filed under the name uncultured bacterium. RNAcentral's name for it is "partial 16S ribosomal RNA". It matches the Rfam family "Bacterial small subunit ribosomal RNA", at positions 28 to 507 of the family's 1533-position model. The record is from RNAcentral.
GACGAACGCUGGCGGCGUGCUUAACACAUGCAAGUUGAACGAGAAUUUUUCGAGUGAUUUCUUCGGAAUGAUCAUGAAAAAGGAAAGUAGCGAACGGGUGAGUAACACGUGAGAAACCUGCCUUUCACAAAGGGAUAGCCUCGGGAAACCGGGAUUAAUACCUUAUGAAACCAAACACUCGCAUGAGAGAUUGGUUAAAGAUUUAUCGGUGUUAGAUGGUCUCGCGUCUGAUUAGCUAGUUGGUGGGAUAAAAGCCUACCAAGGCAACGAUCAGUAGCCGGGUUGAGAGGUUGAACGGCCACACUGGAACUGAGACACGGUCCAGACUCCUACGGGAGGCAGCGGUGGGGAAUUUUGCACAAUGGAGGAAACUCUGAUGCAGCGACGCCGCGUGAGUGAUGAAGGUCUUCGGAUUGUAAAACUCUGUCCUUAGUGAAGAUAAUGACAGUAACUAAGAAGCAAGCCCUGGCUAAAUACGUG